UACGUAGGGUGCAAGCGUUAAUCGGAAUUACUGGGCGUAAAGCGUGCGCAGGCGGUUAUGUAAGUCAGAUGUGAAAUCCCCGGGCUCAACCUGGGAAUGGCAUUUGAGACUGCAUAGCUAGAGUGUGUCAGAGGGGGGUAGAAUUCCACGUGUAGCAGUGAAGUGCGUAGAGAUGUGGAGGAACACCGAUGGCGAAGGCAGCCCCCUGGGAUAACACCGACGCUCAUGCACGAAAGCGUGGGGAGCAAACAGG
RNAcentral lists this ribosomal RNA (253 nucleotides) under uncultured bacterium. RNAcentral describes it as "partial 16S ribosomal RNA". It matches the Rfam family "Bacterial small subunit ribosomal RNA", at positions 524 to 776 of the family's 1533-position model. The record is from RNAcentral.